UCCUCUGAUAGCUCAGAUGGUAGAGCAUGAGACUGUAGAUCUUGUGGUCGCGUGUUCGAGUCACGCUCGGAGGAACC
This 77-nucleotide transfer RNA is filed under the name compost metagenome. Its description in RNAcentral is "tRNA-Tyr". It matches the Rfam family "tRNA". From Rfam's summary of the family: Transfer RNA (tRNA) molecules are approximately 80 nucleotides in length. Their secondary structure includes four short double-helical elements and three loops (D, anti-codon, and T loops). The record is from RNAcentral.